RNAcentral lists this ribosomal RNA (253 nucleotides) under uncultured bacterium. Its description in RNAcentral is "partial 16S ribosomal RNA". It matches the Rfam family "Bacterial small subunit ribosomal RNA", at positions 524 to 776 of the family's 1533-position model. The record is from RNAcentral.
UACGGAGGGUGCGAGCGUUGUCCGGAAUCACUGGGCGUAAAGGGCGCGUAGGCGGCGCGAGCAGUCGAUCGUGAAAGUCCGGAGCUCAACUCCGGAUCGGCGGUCGAUACUCUCGUGCUUGAGCACUGUAGAGGCAGAUGGAAUUCCGGGAGUAGCGGUGGAAUGCGUAGAGAUCCGGAAGAACACCGGUGGCGAAGGCGGUCUGCUGGGCAGUUGCUGACGCUGAGGCGCGACAGCGUGGGGAGCAAACAGG